RNAcentral lists this ribosomal RNA (434 nucleotides) under uncultured bacterium. RNAcentral describes it as "partial 16S ribosomal RNA". It matches the Rfam family "Bacterial small subunit ribosomal RNA", at positions 29 to 507 of the family's 1533-position model. The record is from RNAcentral.
AGCGAACGCUGGCGGCAGGCCUAACACAUGCAAGUCGAACGAACCUUUCGGGGUUAGUGGCGGACGGGUGAGUAACACGUGGGAACGUGCCUUUAGGUUCGGAAUAACUCAGGGAAACUUGUGCUAAUACCGAAUGUGCUCUUCGGGGGACAGAUUAAUCGCCUUUAGAGCGGCCCGCGUCUGAUUAGCUAGUUGGUUGAGGUAAUGGCUUACCAAGGCGACAUUCAGUAGCUGGUCUGAGAGGAUGAUCAGCCACAUUGGGACUGAGACACGGCCCAAACUACUGCGGGAGGCAGCAGUGGGGAAUCUUGCGCAAUCGGCGAAAGCCUGACGCAGCCAUGCCGCGUGAAUGAUGAAGGUCUUAGGAUUGUAAAAUUCUUUCACCGGGGACGAUAAUGACGGUACCCGGAGAAGAAGCCCCGGCUAACUUCGUG